This 500-nucleotide ribosomal RNA is filed under the name uncultured bacterium. RNAcentral describes it as "partial 16S ribosomal RNA". It matches the Rfam family "Bacterial small subunit ribosomal RNA", at positions 30 to 523 of the family's 1533-position model. The record is from RNAcentral.
AUUGAACGCUGGCGGCAGGCCUAACACAUGCAAGUCGAGCGGAUGAAGAGAGCUUGCUCUCUGAUACAGCGGCGGACGGGUGAGUAAUGCCUAGGAAUCUGCCUGGUAGUGGGGGACGACGUUUCGAAAGGAACGCUAAUACCGCAUACGUCCUACGGGAGAAAGCAGGGGACCUUCGGGCCUUGCGCUAUCAGAUGAGCCUAGGUCGGAUUAGCUAGUUGGUGAGGUAAUGGCUCACCAAGGGGACGAUCCGUAACUGGUCUGAGAGGAUGAUCAGUAACACUGGAACUGAGACACGGUCCAGACUCCUACGGGAGGCAGCAGUGGGGAAUAUUGGACAAUGGGCGAAAGCCUGAUCCAGCCAUGCCGCGUGUGUGAAGAAGGUCUUCGGAUUGUAAAGCACUUUAAGUUGGGAGGAAGGGCAGUAAGUUAAUACCUUGCUGUUUUGACGUUACCGACAGAAUAAGCACCGGCUAACUCUGUGCCAGCCGCCGCCGUAA